RNAcentral lists this non-coding RNA (85 nucleotides) under uncultured Proteus sp. Lineage: Bacteria; Pseudomonadati; Pseudomonadota; Gammaproteobacteria; Enterobacterales; Morganellaceae. The record is from RNAcentral.
UCAAUGGUGGACUGUGCGGAGGCACCUCAGGGUGCGCCGGUUCCCUUUGUAGCCGGUAAGACCAACUCCGUACAGUUCACCACCA